This 285-nucleotide unclassified non-coding RNA is filed under the name Hevea brasiliensis (rubber tree). The record is from RNAcentral. Lineage: Eukaryota; Viridiplantae; Streptophyta; Magnoliopsida; Malpighiales; Euphorbiaceae.
AUUGCUUCAGCAUCUUUGUCCCCAGGUACUUCAACAAAGGCUGGGUUUCUUCUGAUGAUAACUCCAACCAUAAUAGUGUUCCUCGUAUAGCCUCUCUGACUAAGCCGCCACCACCACUUUCUCUAGUGAGUCUAUCGCUCCCUCUUAGUCCACUCCAAUUCCUCGCUACCAUGGCCCAUUUAACAACUUGCAAGUAGAAGAAGAAAAACCUACCAUUAGAGGUCACGGGUAUCAUUUAACUUGAAAACUAGUUAUUAGAGGUCAUAUGUACUUUUAUAUUACUAU